CGAGGUAUAGCUCAGUUCGGUUAGAGCGUACGCCUGAUAAGCGUAAGGUCAUAAGUUCAAAUCUUAUUGCCUCGACCA
This 78-nucleotide transfer RNA is filed under the name Caudoviricetes sp. Its description in RNAcentral is "tRNA-Ile". It matches the Rfam family "tRNA". Rfam says of the family: Transfer RNA (tRNA) molecules are approximately 80 nucleotides in length. Their secondary structure includes four short double-helical elements and three loops (D, anti-codon, and T loops). Further hydrogen bonds mediate the characteristic L-shaped molecular structure. tRNAs have two regions of fundamental functional importance: the anti-codon, which is responsible for specific mRNA codon recognition, and the 3' end, to which the tRNAs corresponding amino acid is attached (by aminoacyl-tRNA synthetases). tRNAs cope with the degeneracy of the genetic code in two manners: having more than one tRNA (with a specific anti-codon) for a particular amino acid; and 'wobble' base-pairing, i.e. permitting non-standard base-pairing at the 3rd anti-codon position. The record is from RNAcentral. Lineage: Duplodnaviria; Heunggongvirae; Uroviricota; Caudoviricetes.